UACGGAGGGUGCAAGCGUUAAUCGGAAUCACUGGGUGUAAAGGGUGUGUAGGCCGGGCAGUAAGUCAGUGGUGAAAGCCUACGGCUCAACCGUAGAAUUGCCGUUGAUACUACUGCUCUUGAGUCCUGGAGAGGUCAUUGGAAUUCGUGGUGUAGCGGUGAAAUGCGUAGAUAUCACGAGGAACACCAGAGGUGUAGACGGAUGACUGGACAGGUACUGACGCUGAGGCACGAAAGCGUGGGGAGCAAACAGG
RNAcentral lists this unclassified non-coding RNA (253 nucleotides) under uncultured Bacteroidota bacterium. RNAcentral's name for it is "uncultured Bacteroidetes bacterium contains 16S-23S intergenic spacer region". It matches the Rfam family "Bacterial small subunit ribosomal RNA", at positions 524 to 776 of the family's 1533-position model. The record is from RNAcentral. Lineage: Bacteria; Pseudomonadati; Bacteroidota.